UACAGAGGUCUCAAGCGUUGUUCGGAUUCAUUGGGCGUAAAGGGUGCGUAGGCGGCGCGGUAAGUCGGGUGUGAAAUCUCGGGGCUUAACUCCGAAACUGCAUUCGAUACUGCCUUGCUCGAGGACUGGAGAGGAGAUUGGAAUUCACGGUGUAGCAGUGAAAUGCGUAGAUAUCGUGAGGAAGACCAGUGGCGAAGGCGGAUCUCUGGACAGUUCCUGACACUGAGGCACGAAGGCCAGGGGAGCAAACGGG
RNAcentral lists this ribosomal RNA (253 nucleotides) under uncultured bacterium. RNAcentral describes it as "partial 16S ribosomal RNA". It matches the Rfam family "Bacterial small subunit ribosomal RNA", at positions 524 to 776 of the family's 1533-position model. The record is from RNAcentral.